CGGACGGGUGAGUAAUGUCUGGGAAACUGCCUGAUGGAGGGGGAUAACUACUGGAAACGGUAGCUAAUACCGCAUAACGUCGCAAGACCAAAAAGGGGGACCUUCGGGCCUCUUGCCAUCGGAUGUGCCCAGAUGGGAUUAGCUAGUAGGUGGGGUAACGGCUCACCUAGGCGACGAUCCCUAGCUGGUCUGAGAGGAUGACCAGCCACACUGGAACUGAGACACGGUCCAG
This 232-nucleotide ribosomal RNA is filed under the name uncultured bacterium. RNAcentral describes it as "partial 16S ribosomal RNA". It matches the Rfam family "Bacterial small subunit ribosomal RNA", at positions 99 to 334 of the family's 1533-position model. The record is from RNAcentral.